Molecule: ribosomal RNA, 294 nt
Filed under: uncultured microorganism
Description: partial 16S ribosomal RNA
Rfam family: Bacterial small subunit ribosomal RNA
Source: RNAcentral
GUGCCAGCAGCCGCGGUAAUACAGACGGGUGCAAGCGUUAAUCGGAUUUACUGGGCGUAAAGCGCGCGCUAGGUGGCCAAUUAAGUCAAAUGUGAAAUCCCCGAGCUUAACUUGGGAAUUGCAUUCGAUACUGGUUGGCUAGAGUAUGGGAGAGGAUGGUAGAAUUCCAGGUGUAGCGGUGAAAUGCGUAGAGAUCUGGAGGAAUACCGAUGGCGAAGGCAGCCAUCUGGCCUAAUACUGACACUGAGGUGCGAAAGCAUGGGGAGCAAACAGGAUUAGAUACCCUGGUAGUCC